RNAcentral lists this unclassified non-coding RNA (165 nucleotides) under plant metagenome. Its description in RNAcentral is "partial contains small subunit ribosomal RNA and internal transcribed spacer 1". The stretch from base 1 to 46 matches the Rfam family "Eukaryotic small subunit ribosomal RNA", at positions 1786 to 1831 of the family's 1831-position model. The record is from RNAcentral.
AAGUCGUAACGAGGUCUCCGUAGGUGAACCUGCGGAGGGAUCAUUAUUGAAAUGGCUCCGCUUUCAACCUUCAAACCUGUGGGAAGCAAAACCCGUGCUUCGGGGGCUUUGGCCCCGCACUUAUGCAGCAAAGCGUUUUGUCUGAAUCAAAAGCAAGAAUUAAAA